Molecule: ribosomal RNA, 231 nt
Filed under: uncultured bacterium
Lineage: Bacteria
Description: partial 16S ribosomal RNA
Rfam family: Bacterial small subunit ribosomal RNA
Source: RNAcentral
AGUACAGUGGCGUACGGGUGAGUAACACGUGGGUAAUCUACCUCUUAGUGAGGAAUAACCCUGGGAAACCGGGGCUAAUACCGCAUAAGCCUGAGAAGGGAAAGCAGAAAUGCGCUGAGAGAGGAGCCCGCGGCCGAUUAGCUAGUUGGUAGGGUAAUGGCCUACCAAGGCUUUGAUCGGUAGCCGGCCUGAGAGGGCACACGGCCACACUGGCACUGAAACACGGGCCAG